ACGGACCCGCCGGGGCGGACCCUGCCCGCGCCCCCGGCAUCCACCAGGACGCAGCCAGGGCCGAGGCUGGGGCUGGGCCGCGCGGCCUCGCCUCCUGGGCCCCGCGGGGCGGGGGUGACCGGCGUGGGUCCCGCGACCCGGGGCGGCAGCGACCGUGGGCGGUGGGGCAGGUGGGGCAGGCGGCGCGUGCCCUGUCCCCUCCCCGGGCUCCGGCCACACGAGCGGGCCGGCGCUUCGCUGCUGGCAACGUGUCGCGGGAACGCUCCUACCCCAUCUGCAUGCCUUACAUGGCUCGAAAGUAAAAAUAAAAAGAAUUACGAUGCGGGCGAGGCUUGUGGGGGUGAGAAGAGGAGAUUCCGCUUCUCCCGUGCUGCGUCCUGAUAGGACCCCCAGGGCCUUCCGAGCCCUCUCCCAGCGACCACCUCGUGUCCCGGAGUUGCAGCAAGAGAUGUGAGAAGGUGUCACCCUGAAGAGGAAGUGGUGGACCAGCCCUGCCUGAUGUGGACAGCAGGGGACACAUGUCUGCCUGUCUAUGUGAAAUGAGGGAAAAAAUGCUGAAAGCCAAAGGAGGGUUUAAUGUGGCCUUUUCCACCUUCUAAUUCCAUAGAACCUCAGCUCUGGGACUUGCUUCCUGACCUAGGGUGCAGGGGCCAAAUUUGUUUAGGAACAACCCCAUUCGCAAUUCCCCUCAUGAACUUUCAGAAAGGACCCUUGCAUCUUAGAUCCUGAGAAGUCACAAAUAAACAAGCUGAAUUGUCUAAA
Macaca mulatta (Rhesus monkey) is the source of this 762-nucleotide RNA transcript. RefSeq lists it as uncharacterized. The record is from RefSeq and is a predicted model, not a curated record. NCBI's taxonomy places the organism in Eukaryota, Metazoa, Chordata, Mammalia, Primates, Cercopithecidae.